This 253-nucleotide ribosomal RNA is filed under the name uncultured bacterium. Its description in RNAcentral is "partial 16S ribosomal RNA". It matches the Rfam family "Bacterial small subunit ribosomal RNA", at positions 524 to 776 of the family's 1533-position model. The record is from RNAcentral.
UACGAAGGGGGCUAGCGUUGCUCGGAAUCACUGGGCGUAAAGGGUGCGUAGGCGGGUCUUUAAGUCAGGGGUGAAAUCCUGGAGCUCAACUCCAGAACUGCCUUUGAUACUGAGGAUCUUGAGUUCGGGAGAGGUGAGUGGAACUGCGAGUGUAGAGGUGAAAUUCGUAGAUAUUCGCAAGAACACCAGUGGCGAAGGCGGCUCACUGGCCCGAUACUGACGCUGAGGCACGAAAGCGUGGGUAGCAAACAGG